Molecule: long non-coding RNA, 602 nt
Filed under: Heterocephalus glaber (naked mole-rat)
Lineage: Eukaryota; Metazoa; Chordata; Mammalia; Rodentia; Bathyergidae
Description: lncRNA (ENSHGLG00000048763.1)
Source: RNAcentral
ACUACUAUAAUUCUGAAUUCUCUACAGAUUGGCUUGGCCUGUUUUUAAAUUCUCUUUACAUCCUCAACAUUGCCUGGCCCACGCUUGUGAAAUGGAGUCUCCCCCUGGAAAAUUCAUCAACGUUUUCUUUUCAGGAUGGAACAAGAAAAUUCAAAGGGUGCAGUUGAGAAGCCCUGGGACCUGGGAGGCAGAAGGGGAGCGUAUGACCAAGAAGGAGGCUACAGAGUUCCUGAUUCUGCAACUUUCUCUGAGAAGGAUGAGUUGGGGCUCCAGUGGGCACAGAGCAGGGGAGGGGAGCAGUUGCCAGGGGCAGAGCUGCAAACAACAGCAGCCAUUGUAAUGGAUUGGUGAGGAAGCACCAUUACCAAGAGAUCUGAGGUUCUUCCUACACACAAAAGGAGUGGACACAGCAAGUCCUUUUUGAGCCCCAGUGUCCCCAGGAGUGGAUAAUAGCACUUUUGAAUCAAGGGAAUUCUUGAGGUGACCCGGAGUCAACUCUUUCAGUCUGAAAUGGCCUGAGAAAUCAAGGUGAUAGCUGUGUUUAGCCAAUUCCUUUAAUAAAUUUAUAAAUUAUAAAAUACCAAGUGGAAAAAAUUAGUAGU